GAUGAACGCUAGCGGCAGGCUUAAUACAUGCAAGUCGAGGGGCAUCAAGGUACACGAAAGUGUAUUGUUGGCGACCGGCGGACGGGUGAGUAAUAGGUAGGUAACCUACCUCAUACUGAGGCAUAGCUGGGAGAAAUUCCAGGUAAUUCCUCAUGAGGUUAUAUGACACAUGUGAUAUAAUCAAAGGUAUCGCAAGGUACUGGUAUGAGAUGGGCUUACUGACCAUUAGCUAGUUGGUGAGAUAAGAGCUCACCAAGGCGAAGAUGGUUAGGGGUUUUGAGAGAGAGAUCCCCCACAUUGGAACUGAGAUACGGUCCAGACUCCUACGGGAGGCAGCAGUAGGGAAUAUUGGGCAAUGGGCGGAAGCCUGACCCAGCCAUGCCGCGUGAAGGAAGACGGCCUUAGUGGGUUGUAAACUUCUUUACUAUGCGACUAACUAGAUUUACGAGAUAAUUCUAUAGAAUGUAGCAUAGCAAAAAGCACCGGA
Molecule: ribosomal RNA, 487 nt
Filed under: uncultured bacterium
Lineage: Bacteria
Description: bacterial SSU rRNA
Rfam family: Bacterial small subunit ribosomal RNA
Source: RNAcentral